RNAcentral lists this ribosomal RNA (433 nucleotides) under uncultured bacterium. Its description in RNAcentral is "partial 16S ribosomal RNA". It matches the Rfam family "Bacterial small subunit ribosomal RNA", at positions 29 to 507 of the family's 1533-position model. The record is from RNAcentral.
AACGAACGCUGGCGGCAUGCCUAACACAUGCAAGUCGAACGAUGCCUUCGGGCCUAGUGGCGCACGGGUGCGUAACGCGUGGGAAUCUGCCUUUCGGUUCGGAAUAACUCAGGGAAACUUGAGCUAAUACCGGAUAACGUCGCACGACCAAAGAUUUAUCACCGAAAGAUGAGCCCGCGUAGGAUUAGCUAGUUGGUGAGGUAAAGGCUCACCAAGGCGACGAUCCUUAGCUGGUCUGAGAGGAUGAUCAGCCACACUGGGACUGAGACACGGCCCAGACUCCUACGGGAGGCAGCAGUGGGGAAUAUUGGACAAUGGGCGAAAGCCUGAUACAGCAAUGCCGCGUGAGUGAUGAAGGCCUUAGGGUUGUAAAGCUCUUUUACCCGGGAAGAUAAUGACGGUACCGGGAGAAUAAGCCCCGGCUAACUCCGUG